This 301-nucleotide ribosomal RNA is filed under the name uncultured bacterium. Its description in RNAcentral is "partial 16S ribosomal RNA". It matches the Rfam family "Bacterial small subunit ribosomal RNA", at positions 509 to 807 of the family's 1533-position model. The record is from RNAcentral.
CAGUAGCCGCGGUAAAACAGAGGGUGCGAGCGUUAAUCGGAUUUACUGGGCGUAAAGCGUGCGUAGGCGGCUUCUUAAGUCGGAUGUGAAAUCCCUGAGCUUAACUUAGGAAUUGCAUUCGAUACUGGGAAGCUAGAGUAUGGGAGAGGAUGGUAGAAUUCCAGGUGUAGCGGUGAAAUGCGUAGAGAUCUGGAGGAAUACCGAUGGCGAAGGCAGCCAUCUGGCCUAAUAUUGACGCUGAGGUACGAAAGCAUGGGGAGCAAACAGGAUUAGAUACCCGCGUAGUCCCUGUCUCUUAUAC